GACGAACGCUGGCGGCGUGCUUAACACAUGCAAGUCGAACGGAAAGGCCCUGCUUGCAGGGUACUCGAGUGGCGAACGGGGGAGUAACACGUGGGUGAUCUGCCCUGCACUUCGGGAUAAGCCUGGGAAACUGGGUCUAAUACCGGAUAGGGGCCAUUUUUAGUGUGAUGGUUGGAAAGUUUUUUCGGUGUAGGAUGAGCUCGCGGCCUAUCAGCUUGUUGGUGGGGUAAUGGCCUACCAAGGCGGCGACGGGUAGCCGGCCUGAGAGGGUGGACGGCCACAUUGGGACUGAGAUACGGCCCAGACUCCUACGGGAGGCAGCAGUGGGGAAUAUUGCACAAUGGGCGCAAGCCUGAUGCAGCGACGCCGCGUGGGGGAUGACGGCCUUCGGGUUGUAAACUCCUUUCGCUAGGGACGAAGCUUUUUGUGACGGUACCUAGAUAAGAAGCACCGGCUAACUACGUG
This 465-nucleotide ribosomal RNA is filed under the name uncultured bacterium. RNAcentral's name for it is "partial 16S ribosomal RNA". It matches the Rfam family "Bacterial small subunit ribosomal RNA", at positions 28 to 507 of the family's 1533-position model. The record is from RNAcentral.